Long non-coding RNA from Leptinotarsa decemlineata (Colorado potato beetle), 491 nucleotides. The record is from RefSeq and is a predicted model, not a curated record. Lineage: Eukaryota; Metazoa; Arthropoda; Insecta; Coleoptera; Chrysomelidae.
GCAAAGACCAUAAAAAACCAGAAGAAGAAGUAACUGAUUAACCUUUUUGACGUUGCUUUUUUAGGUUUUGAAGUUUCACUUAAUAAUGAGGAUUUUUCAAGCUUUAUUCCGUCGUAAAAAUAUGCCAAAUGGUCACAUAUACAGAGGCAAAAAUAAAAUAAUUAAAGAAGUAACGAUUGCGGACAUUCAAAAAUUAAAAACUCAAUUUGAAAUAGAGGAACAAAAUAUGUUUUACCUAAGGCAUGCCUAUCUCACACCUGAACAGUCCGCGGGGCAUGCCAGAGCAUUGGGCAAGAACGAAGAGAACUUCAUCAAAACCAAGACGAAACAAAAACCUUUUUUUGAACACGUUACCAUCGAAUCUAGGCUAGCUCACUUGAGAGUGAAUGAAGCAUGGGACUGAAUAUUUUGUUGAAAAAAUUGAAAUAAUAGUCCAGAGUAGUGAUAGUUUUAUGGUAAUAAAUAAAACAAAAUUGAAAGUAAUUGUUCAU